Molecule: transfer RNA, 72 nt
Filed under: Camelus bactrianus (Bactrian camel)
Lineage: Eukaryota; Metazoa; Chordata; Mammalia; Artiodactyla; Camelidae
Also listed under: 2 other names
Rfam family: tRNA
About the family: Transfer RNA (tRNA) molecules are approximately 80 nucleotides in length.
Source: Rfam by way of RNAcentral
GAGCUUAUAGCUCAGUGGUAGAGCACAUGCUUAAUAUGCAUAAGGUACUGAGUUCAAUCCCCAGUACCUCCA